Long non-coding RNA from Castor canadensis (American beaver), 726 nucleotides. RefSeq lists it as uncharacterized. NCBI's taxonomy places the organism in Eukaryota, Metazoa, Chordata, Mammalia, Rodentia, Castoridae. The record is from RefSeq and is a predicted model, not a curated record.
AAGUGAAAGAGCCAUAGCUCAGGUUCAAAUUGUGAAUUUUCCUCAAGUGCAAAUAAUCUAGAUGAUGACUUUGUUAAAAUAUUUGGUAAGUGUCCCCCUUCUGCGACAUUUUUGGACUGUAUUUGGAAUCAUCUAUUUGUCCUUGGUUGUCUCCAGGUCACCUGUCCCUACUGCUUUGGAGCAAAGGUCAUCUCCAUCAUAAGAACUCAUACAAUUCUGACUUUGGGUCAAACUUAAAUGAGCAUGAAGAACAUUUGGCUAAAAUAUUUGGGAUUCUCAGCUCAUUGAUCUAAUCCAACAUGCCUACUUAAUAUCUGAGAAAAACCAGAGCCCAGAUGGAAGAUGGAAGGUUAGUGAAGAUCCAGGAAUCCAUCCCUUUACUAAAACAACAAUAGAGCUGACAACAACUAUCAUAAGUCACCAUUAAGGAACACAGGAAUGUUGUCUAACACUGGCAAUACCCAAGGUGAUCCUGAUGAAGAGGCUCUUAGGUUAGGGAGAAUUCCAGCAUUUCAUGUAGCAGCUCCCAUUUUCCAUCCCCAAGCUUGUGGCAGGCAACUUUGUGGAUAGCAGUCCAUACUCCAGUGAGGCUUUUGGUGCCAGGGUGAGCAAUAAGGACCUUGUCCUAAAAACCCAGGGUAUGAACACUGCUUUAGACAUCGGAAGGGUUGGUAAGUAUCUUAGCUAUUGUUUAAAGCUCCCCAAAAUCCUGUUGAGGGGAUUUAA